AUAUUCAAAUCUAAUCUCAGACAUCAGCUGUGUGACCUGGGCAAGUGACAUCACUGAACUUCCUCAUCUGUAAAAUGAGCUGAAGAAGGGAAUAGCAUACCACUCCAGUAUGGAGUCACAAAGAGUUGGAUGUGGCUAAACCAUCUGAACAACAACAACAUUAUUUCUACUAAUGGGUGAAAAAGAGGAGGAAAAACAUCCCAGCCAUGGGAGAAAACUUGCACAAAAACAGAGAUCAGAUUUCAGGAACAGGAAAUCCUUUAGUAGUCAAAUGGGGAGAAGACACAGAAUAUUCCCCAAAGCAGCAGAACUGAUCCAGUUCCCUCAAAAUAGUCUGUAUCGCCAAACCUCAUCAGUGUUGUUACCAUGUCAUCCACACCGGAUUUCACCAUUCUGGGAAAAAGAAUACCAGUCAAGGACUGAACUGAUGUCUCUCCUUCAACAAACUUCUAAUACCUCACAAUCAUCACACCGUCACUACCACAAGAAUGUACAAGAGCCUACAUCUUGGCUCAAACAUUCAGGCAAUGCUCCCAAGAUGCCCCACCUUAAUUAUAGAGCAGUGGCAGCGCCAUUGCCCCGUCUUCAUCACCUGGCUAAACCAGCUUCUCGUCACAAGCACCGUACAGUGGCUCCAGUCUUGCCUUUACCUAGGACUGAUAUCCCAACCAGAAAAACUUCUGGGUCUUUGAUUCCCAUUGAUCAGUGCCUUAUACCUCCUCUCAGUCUCAAACACCAGUAUGAUUUUCCUUCGGAUUCUGACCACCGGUUGGAGAAUUCUUCAGGUUCUGACCAUCUUCCCAAGAUUUUCCCAGCUUGUGAUCAUUUGAGUAUUGAGGAUCUAUCACUUCUUAACCCAAAGGACCCAAUUUCAACCUUCUCUGACCACCAGACUAAGGUUCCAUUAUAUAAGGGCCACAAAUCCAGGGAUACUCCAGUUCCUGACACCCAGAUCAAGACCAGUGGUCCUCUGGCAAGACCCCCCACUCAGGGGACCAAAGUUUUGCCAAGACCCAGGCGCCGGAUCAAGGCUACCAAUGCACUGUUAGGACUUUUUAACUUGGACCCUGUACUCCAUCCACUUGCAAAAUCAUUACCUUUUACUAACUGGACCAAGGGCCCAAAUUUCAGAUCACCAUCUCCAAACCACCAGGCCCAGACCCAAGCUCUGAAGACAUCACAUAGUGACUUGCAGCUCAAGGAAGCAAUGUCCUUUUUACAAUACCUUGAGCACCGUCCUAGACCCCUAGCUGUACCUACAUCUCAUCUGAAUCGGAAAAACAGGUCUACAACAGUAUGCAAGUAUAACAAUCGCCAACUACAUGGACCAUGCUCUCUUGCCCAUGUCUCAGUUCAAACAGAACAAGACAACUGGGAAACUAAGCUUCUGAGAAAAUACCUCCUGGAUUCGCGUCCAUGCAGUCCUGAAGAGAAGCCUUCCACAUUAGUGAAAAUUGACAAAGAGCCUUUUGAAGCAAUUUUUCAAGGAAAAGCUAUCCAGGACUUAACUCCAUCUAAUCUUGACCUGAAAACUGGCGUGACCUCAGAGCCAACUGUCCAUGUCUCCAUCCAAACAGAACCAGACACUUGGGUAACAAUAUCCCAAAGAUUAGAGCUUCAGGAAAAACUUCCAUCCUGUCCUGAAGUGGAUGUUGACAUGAUCUCAGAGCCUAUUGUCCAUGUCUCCAUCCAAACAGAGCUAAACACCUGGGAAACAAUAUCCCCAGAGACAGACCUCCAGGAAACAUUUUCAUCCAGUCCUGAUGUGGAAACUGACAUCACCCCAGAGCCUACUGUUCAUGUCUCCAUUCAAACAGAGCUAGACACCUUGGAAACAAUAUCUCCAGACACAGACCUCCAGGAAACAUUUUCAUCCAGUCCUGACCUGGAGACUGACAAGAUCCUGGAGCCUCUUGUCCAUACCUCCAUGCAAACAGAGGUAGACAAUUGGGAAACAACAUCUCCAGAGACAGACCUCCAGGAAACACUUCCAUCCAGUCCUGACCUGGAAACUAACAAGACCUUAGAGCCUCCUGUCCAUGCCUCCAUACAAACAGAACUAGACACUUGGGAAACAAUAUCCCCAGAGAUAGACCAGGAGGAAAUCUUUGUAACAGGACAGGAUGAGAACAUAAUUCCACUGGACUCAAGUCCCCAGGAUAUAACUCUAUCUGGCCCUCACCAAAGGACCACACCUCCAUCCAGUCCUAUGUCCGGAGCUGAGCAUACGCCAGACUCCAAUGCCCUGGUCCCUCUUCAUCAAGAACUAGAACGAUGGAAACCACCACCACAAGAAAUAGAUCAUCUGGAUAUAUUUUCAUCCAGCCUAGAAAUGGACACUAGCAAUGUAUCAGGACCCACUGUCAAAGAAUCAGUUCCAAUAAAAGAAAUGUACUGGGAAAUAAUAUUAGCAAUGCUACUUGGACUAUCCAAUCACCAGGCAAUAACAUUAACAGAUGAGAAACAUGAAACUGCUCAUCCACUGGAUUUGGAUAACCAGGAGAGAAUAUUUUCUAGCCCUGAUGAGGCAAAAACACCUUUACCUAGCCCUAAGCACCAGAUUGAGGAUAUUUCAAAUCCUGAUGCCCAGGCUACACUUAAACAAAAAUUAGAAGAAUGGGCAACACUAUCAGAGGAAACAAAUCUCUGCAACACAUUAACAUUUACCACAGAGUCACACUCUGAGAAAACUCCAGUCCUUAGUGAUGUGGAUGAUCAUAUCUCAGAUGGAAUAGAGAAAGAAACAAUUGAAAUCAUAGAUAUAAUGCCACUGAGAAUAGAAGUCCAAGAAGCAAAUCAAAUAGUUGAGGAUCAUUGGGCAAUAACACCUCUUUCCCCAGACAACAGUGACCAAGAAAAUGCUGUACCUGCAUCUGACCAUCAGCCCACACCACUCCUCACUCUGGACCAAGAGCAAGAGGCUGAAGAUACAGCACAUGACCCUGUCCAAGAUUUAAUAGUUCAAACAGACCAAGAGUCUGGAGAAAUAACACCAUUGAGAACAGAUUUAGUGGCCACAUUUCUAACCGACCAGGAUAAUGAGGCAACAAUGCCUCCAGUGGACAUAAAACCUAAAGAACCAGCUCAACUUGUCCUUGAAUCUCAAAUCAUACCUUCAUUCAGUCCUGACCAGCAGACUGAAGAUAUACCAGAUCUAAGCUCUCAGGUGUCCCUUCAACCAGGAUCUGGCCCAUGUGACACAAUGUCAUCAGGAACAGAGCUUCAAAACAUCAUUUUAGUAGACCAGGAUCAAAGGAUAAUACCACCAUUGAACUUAGACAAUGAGGAAAUGACUCUACUUAGCUCUAACCAGUGUACAAUACAUCCACCUAGUCCUCCUGACAGACAGUCAGAAGUUGCUGAAGAUCUCAAUAGUCAGGCUACAUCUCCAAGAGAUUUAGAAUACUCAGCAAAAUUGUCUGAGGGUCGAGAGUAUGAUACACCUUCAUCUAGUGCUAGUCCCUCAAUCACUAUUUCAUCUAUCUCAGAAAACGAGACUGAAUCUGGAACAGAAUCCACCCAUGCAUCAAGCACAUCACCAGGAAAUGUGGAUGAUGAGGAAGAAAUGCCUCCAAGCCCUGACAAGACCAUAUCAUCAUCAAGUUCCAACCACCAGAUUGAGGCUCCAACAGGUCGUGACCACCAGCCUGAGACUGAGCUGAGCUCCGACCACCAAGACGAGGUUGAAUCUGGGCUCCCACAUCAGCUCCAUUCUGUGCAAAAGAAACAGACCAAAUUGCAUUUAAAUUACAUCAAACCGUACACCAUCGAGGGGGGAACCAUCUCUGAUAAAACUGCUCAUGCCAUCAUCAAUUCCAUCCCUCAGAAGAGAAUAAAAAAUGACAUUUGUAAGGAUGUUCCCCUCCCUCUUGAUGAAUACAACUCAUGUGAAUACAUAGUCUGUUUAAUUUGUGCCUCCUGGAUCCCAGAUGGCUGCCCACAUGAAGGAAUGAAAUAUCCAUGUGAAGCUCAAUUGCUUGCUGUACCAAUACCUAUACCCAUGUGUGAGGAGGAGAUUGAUAUAAAAUUUGUCUUCAAAUGCCCCGAGGCAACAGUCUCUUCCCUUUUCAGCACCUCAAGCACCCAUAGCUGUGCGAGAAAGUCUUCAGAAGGUGCAGAAUCAUUUAUCUCAGACACUAUGCUACCUGUUCCAUCAAGGCCAAAGUGGUUUCACUUCAUCCUAGGCAAAUCUCUCCCACAGUGGAAGAAAGAUAGUCCUAGAAGCCCAGAGCCCCUCCUAGAUAAGGUCUUCGAGGAGGGAAGCAUUAGCAAAGAAGGGGAAAAGGCAAAGACACAUCGGACAUCUUUCAGGUCUCUCCUAGAGAGAUUUCAGUGGAGGCAAAAGGAAACUAAAUAACUAUAUUUUGAAAGGAAUUGAUUCCCCCAGUAUAUUUUUGGCUUUUGUGUCUUAUUUUUUAUAGUGAUUUUAGGUAUUAACAAAAGGAAAUGAUAAAAUUGUCUCUUCUUUGCAGUUCAAGAGUAAAUUCUCCAUGUUUUUUCCUUUCGUAUUCCAUAGUUUGUAGAGCCCUCUGUGAUAAAUAUGGGGAGAAUAUGGACAAUAGUCACAGAGAAGGGGCAUGCAGGGACCUGGGUUGCUACUUGCAUCUUUGGUGGAACUAUUCAAAUCAAUAUCACAUGUGUAUCUGAGUAUUGAGGUAGAUAGACUGUGCUCAGAAUUAAUGGAUUCCCAAUAGGCCAGAAAACUUCAUUCUUUACUUUUCUCACACAUUAACAAUUUAGUAAAUGUUUUCAUAGAUUAAAAUGUGACUACAUAUAUAAUCUAUAAACCUUUU
Long non-coding RNA from Sarcophilus harrisii (Tasmanian devil), 4793 nucleotides. Lineage: Eukaryota; Metazoa; Chordata; Mammalia; Dasyuromorphia; Dasyuridae. The record is from Ensembl.